Molecule: ribosomal RNA, 460 nt
Filed under: uncultured bacterium
Lineage: Bacteria
Description: partial 16S ribosomal RNA
Rfam family: Bacterial small subunit ribosomal RNA
Source: RNAcentral
CCUACGGGAGGCAGCAGUGAGGAAUAUUGGUCAAUGGACGAGAGUCUGAACCAGCCAAGUAGCGUGAAGGAUGACUUCCCUCUGGGUUGUAAACUUCUUCUAUAUGGGAAUAAAAUGUUCCACGUGUGGGAUUUUGUAUGUACAAUAUGAAUGAGGAUCGGCUAAAUACGUGCCAGCAGCCGCGGUAAUACGGAGGAUCCGAUCGUUAUCCGGAUGUAUUGGGUUUAAAGGGAGCGUAGGUGGCUAGUGAAGGCAGUUGUGAAAGGUUGCGGCUCAACCGUAAGACUGCAGUUGAAACUGGCAGUCUUGAGUACAGUAGAGGUGGGCGGAAUUCGUGGUGUAGCGGUGAAAUGCUUAGAUAUAACGAAGAACUCCGAUUGCGAAGGCAGCUUACUAAACUGCCACUGACAUUGAUGCUCGAAAGUGUGGGGAUCAAACAGGAUUAGAUACCCGAGUAGUC